GGGAAAGUUGACUUUGAAUUAAUGGACUGUAAUCAAGAAGAGGAAGAACUUUUAAUUGUGUGUGUUACUCUCGUACCGUUUGCGCCGAGGACUUUUAUUUACUUUACAGGAAAAAAAACGUGGAAUUUUUGCACGUGCUUUAGUGACUGUCGCACACGUUUCAUCUACUUUCACUUUUUUUUUUUUUUUUUUUUUCAAACGUCUUUCGAUAUACAUUUUUUAAAUGGUUCGUACGAUCAAGUCCGGUUGCGGAGACUCACGUGUCACGUUAUCACAUCGUACUCACGUAAUUACACGUCAAACGCGUGCGACUCUUCUGUAACGGCUCUAGAAAUGAAAAGAAUGGUUUUUCACUGAGGUCUUGUAUACAGAGGACAUUUUGCAGGCGCAGGAAGCUACUGGAAAUUCAGACACUGACAACAAUGCGAAAAACGAUAAAAUAUGGAUCACUUCCGGUACGGAUGUAAAGUCCGAGCGAUGGAAGUCCAUUUCACGAAGGUACGACAGAGAGCGAAAUAGAUCCAAGACUUGAACCUGAGCUUGGCUUGGUCUUGACGACUGACCGAUUUCAGCUCUCCUGGACUCUGGUGCAGCUGCGGUUUCUGUGAGAUCCCACAGUCUCACUGGCACUGGAGCUGCCAAUCAGGCUCACAGAGGCACGCGCCUGCAACCUGAACCCUGCGCCCGCCGCUCAUUACGCUAAUGAGGCAGAGCGCGCUGGAGGUGUGCUGAUGAAGGUCUCAUGCGGCUCUGAGCUGAAACUGCU
Long non-coding RNA from Ictalurus punctatus (channel catfish), 766 nucleotides. The record is from Ensembl. Lineage: Eukaryota; Metazoa; Chordata; Actinopteri; Siluriformes; Ictaluridae.